UGCAGUCGAAGCUUCUUUUUCCACCGGAGCUUGCUCCACCGGAAAAAGAAGAGUGGCGAACGGGUGAGUAACACGUGGGUAACCUGCCCAUCAGAAGGGGAUAACACUUGGAAACAGGUGCUAAUACCGUAUAGCAAUCAAAACCGCAUGGUUUUGAUUUGAAAGGCGCUUUCGGGUGUCGCUGAUGGAUGGACCCGCGGUGCAUUAGCUAGUUGGUGAGGUAACGGCUCACCAAGGCCACGAUGCAUAGCCGACCUGAGAGGGUGAUCGGCCACAUUGGGACUGAGACACGGCCCAAACUCCUACGGGAGGCAGCAGUAGGGAAUCUUCGGCAAUGGACGAAAGUCUGACCGAGCAACGCCGCGUGAGUGAAGAAGGUUUUCGGAUCGUAAAACUCUGUUGUUAGAGAAGAACAAGGAUGAGAGUAACUGUUCAUCCCUUGACGGUAUCUAACCAGAAAGCCACGGCUAACUACGUGCCAGCAGCCGCGGUAAUACGUAGGUGGCAAGCGUUGUCCGGAUUUAUUGGGCGUAAAGCGAGCGCAGGCGGUUUCUUAAGUCUGAUGUGAAAGCCCCCGGCUCAACCGGGGAGGGUCAUUGGAAACUGGGAGACUUGAGUGCAGAAGAGGAGAGUGGAAUUCCAUGUGUAGCGGUGAAUGCGUAGAUAUAUGGAGGAACCCAGUGGCGAGGCGGCUCUCUGGCUGUAACUGACGCUGAGCUCGAAGCGUG
This 728-nucleotide ribosomal RNA is filed under the name uncultured bacterium. RNAcentral's name for it is "bacterial SSU rRNA". It matches the Rfam family "Bacterial small subunit ribosomal RNA", at positions 56 to 763 of the family's 1533-position model. The record is from RNAcentral.